UACGUAGGUGGCAAGCGUUGUCCGGAAUUAUUGGGCGUAAAGCGCGCGCAGGUGGUUCCUUAAGUCUGAUGUGAAAGCCCCCGGCUCAACCGGGGAGGGUCAUUGGAACCUGGGGAACUUGAGUGCAGGAGAGGAAAGUGGAAUUCCACGUGUAGCGGUGAAAUGCGUAGAUAUGUGGAGGAACACCAGUGGCGAAGGCGACUUUCUGGCCUGUAACUGACACUGAGGCGCGAAAGCGUGGGGAGCAAACAGG
Molecule: ribosomal RNA, 253 nt
Filed under: uncultured bacterium
Lineage: Bacteria
Description: partial 16S ribosomal RNA
Rfam family: Bacterial small subunit ribosomal RNA
Source: RNAcentral